RNAcentral lists this transfer RNA (72 nucleotides) under Camponotus floridanus (Florida carpenter ant). It matches the Rfam family "tRNA". Rfam says of the family: Transfer RNA (tRNA) molecules are approximately 80 nucleotides in length. Their secondary structure includes four short double-helical elements and three loops (D, anti-codon, and T loops). Further hydrogen bonds mediate the characteristic L-shaped molecular structure. tRNAs have two regions of fundamental functional importance: the anti-codon, which is responsible for specific mRNA codon recognition, and the 3' end, to which the tRNAs corresponding amino acid is attached (by aminoacyl-tRNA synthetases). tRNAs cope with the degeneracy of the genetic code in two manners: having more than one tRNA (with a specific anti-codon) for a particular amino acid; and 'wobble' base-pairing, i.e. permitting non-standard base-pairing at the 3rd anti-codon position. The record is from Rfam by way of RNAcentral. Lineage: Eukaryota; Metazoa; Arthropoda; Insecta; Hymenoptera; Formicidae.
GGCUGAAUAGCUCAGUGGUAAGAGCAGUCGCCCGACAAGCGAAAGACUUGGGUCUGUUUCCCGAUUCAGCGA